Molecule: ribosomal RNA, 490 nt
Filed under: uncultured bacterium
Lineage: Bacteria
Description: partial 16S ribosomal RNA
Rfam family: Bacterial small subunit ribosomal RNA
Source: RNAcentral
AUUGAACGCUGGCGGCAGGCCUAACACAUGCAAGUCGAACGGUAACAGGAAGAAGCUUGCUUCUUUGCUGACGAGUGGCGGACGGGUGAGAAAUGUCUGGGAAACUGCCUGAUGGAGGGGGAUAACUACUGGAAACGGUAGCUAAUACCGCAUAACGUCGCAAGACCAAAGAGGGGGACCUUCGGGCCUCUUGCCAUCGGAUGUGCCCAGAUGGGAUUAGCUAGUAGGUGGGGUAACGGCGCACCUAGGCGACGAUCCCUAGCUGGUCUGAGAGGAUGACCAGCCACACUGGAACUGAGACACGGUCCAGACUCCUACGGGAGGCAGCAGUGGGGAAUAUUGCACAAUGGGCGCAAGCCUGAUGCAGCCAUGCCGCGUGUAUGAAGAAGGCCUUCGGGUUGUAAAGCACUUUCAGCGGGGAGGAAGAGAGUAAAGUUAAUACCUUGGCUCAUUGACGUUACCCGCAGAAGAAGCACCGGCUAACUCCGUG